Molecule: ribosomal RNA, 771 nt
Filed under: Citrobacter freundii
Lineage: Bacteria; Pseudomonadati; Pseudomonadota; Gammaproteobacteria; Enterobacterales; Enterobacteriaceae
Description: partial 23S ribosomal RNA
Rfam family: Bacterial large subunit ribosomal RNA
Source: RNAcentral
GAGACUCAGUGAAAUUGAACUCGCUGUGAAGAUGCAGUGUACCCGCGGCAAGACGGAAAGACCCCGUGAACCUUUACUAUAGCUUGACACUGAACACUGGUCCUUGAUGUGUAGGAUAGGUGGGAGGCUUUGAAGUGUGGACGCCAGUCUGCAUGGAGCCAUCCUUGAAAUACCACCCUUUAAUGGCUGGUGUUCUAACGUAGACCCGUAAUCCGGGUUGCGGACAGUGUCUGGUGGGUAGUUUGACUGGGGCGGUCUCCUCCUAAAGAGUAACGGAGGAGCACGAAGGUUAGCUAAUCCUGGUCGGACAUCAGGAGGUUAGUGCAAAGGCAUAAGCUAGCUUGACUGCGAGAGUGACGGCUCGAGCAGGUGCGAAAGCAGGUCUUAGUGAUCCGGUGGUUCUGAAUGGAAGGGCCAUCGCUCAACGGAUAAAAGGUACUCCGGGGAUAACAGGCUGAUACCGCCCAAGAGUUCAUAUCGACGGCGGUGUUUGGCACCUCGAUGUCGGCUCAUCACAUCCUGGGGCUGAAGUAGGUCCCAAGGGUAUGGCUGUUCGCCAUUUAAAGUGGUACGCGAGCUGGGUUUAGAACGUCGUGAGACAGUUCGGUCCCUAUCUGCCGUGGGCGCUGGAGAAUUGAGGGGGGCUGCUCCUAGUACGAGAGGACCGGAGUGGACGCAUCACUGGUGUUCGGGUUGUCAUGCCAAUGGCAUUGCCCGGUAGCUAAAUGCGGAAGAGAUAAGUGCUGAAAGCAUCUAAGCACGAAACUUGCC